Heterocephalus glaber (naked mole-rat) is the source of this 599-nucleotide non-coding RNA. NCBI's taxonomy places the organism in Eukaryota, Metazoa, Chordata, Mammalia, Rodentia, Bathyergidae. The record is from RefSeq and is a predicted model, not a curated record.
GGGUUUGCCUGGCUGUCUCAUUCUCUAUCCUUAUGUCCAGGAAGACUCAGUAUGUGACCUGGCAGGAACAUGCUUGCCAAAUAGUGGCCCCUAAAAAGCUGUUAUGGUGAGUUCCAGGGGCAAGAGGGCCUGAGACACCCUCUCCCUGCAGCUUGCCUUCUCCUUUUUCCUCUACCAGGUCUCAUUCCACCUCCUUCUGGACCACACCAGUCAUCUCCAGGAAGCAAUGGAUCAAACUCUGGACCUUGCGCUUGCGAGCCAGGCGCCAGAACCACUGAGCAAAAUCCCCGGCUGGAGGUGUUGCUGGAACAACUCACAUGGCCUGGGCUUCCUCCCCAUGUGGGGAUUGGAUUCCAAGGAACCAGCCUACAAGAGCAGAGACACCAGACCUGGGAGGACCUUGUAAUCCGCUGUGCUAGACCAGACCAGGAGGAGACCCAGAGGCCCAGAGAAUGGGAAGGUCAUCAGUCCAAGCCUUCCACAUCACUGCCUAGCACGGAUGCUCCAGUGCCAUGCCAGGCUACCCUGCUGGAUCUAUGGUCCAUCUGCCGACAUACUGUGUACUCCACAAGGCCAGGAAUGGACAAGCCUACUCUGUG